Molecule: non-coding RNA, 574 nt
Organism: Ictidomys tridecemlineatus (thirteen-lined ground squirrel)
Lineage: Eukaryota; Metazoa; Chordata; Mammalia; Rodentia; Sciuridae
Source: RefSeq, a predicted model, not a curated record
ACAGCCACACUGCCACAAACCACCUUCCACCAUAAGUCAUAUGAUAACUGGGCCAGGGAGCAGAGCCCACACCUAACCUCCUGUGAGCCACAGACUGUUUGGACUGAAUAGGGCAGGGGGUUAAAAGAUUCAAAGUCAGCUUCUGGUUCAGUUACUGGCAGUUACUUCAGCCAGAAAGUCACAUCGACUUAAAUACUAACAAAGACUUCUUUGAGACAAGGGGAAAGCUUCAAGCACAGGAAGCCUGUUCCCAAAGAAGGAAUCAAGCCUAAGCACAGUUAGAGAUCUUCACUAGAACACGCAUUAUGGCAGAAACUAUCAAAUUCUGGUGACAGAAGGCAAGGGAUGGCCAAACCCGGAUAAACAGUCCACGGGACAUACACUGAAUUCUACAGUAUCAACGGGCUGAGGAAAUAAGUGAAUAAGGUCCUGGCUGGAGAGAGCACCCUCCCUCACUCGAUCAGAGGAGAGAAUUCAGCAUCAUCUUGAGCCAAAGUUGGGAAACAAAAGCAAUCACAAGAGCAUUUCAAUCUGCCUGAGCUACUUAGUGAGCAAGGAAAAAUGCAGACAUACU